UACUUUCUGGGAACUACAGUCCCCAGAAUGCCUCCAUUCUAGGCAGAAAAAUCAGUACUGAGGUGUGCUGGCCUCAUAGCCUGCCUGAGAAGAGCCAGCUCUGGUGGGUUUUUUUUUAAUGAGUGAUAGGAUUGUUGAGAGCUCUGGAGCUCAUCUUCGGAUGAUGCUAGAAGCUUUAGCUCUCUCCUGCAAUUCAGCCCUGCCAGAAGCCAGCGGACUCCCCUCCCCUUUGCUAACCAUUUUCACAGGAGGGGUGAGGGGAACAGAAAAAGCCCAACAGCUCAGCAUAGCUUUAACCCUCCCUUUCUGUGAGCAAGGGGGACAGGACAGCAACUCUGUUCCUUCCCUCUGCAACAUCUGGCCUGGGAAGGGGCAGGAGGGUGAAGAGCCCCUGGAGCAGCAGAGGAUUCCACCCAAAGACCAACUUGAUUUCUGAGCUCCUCAGAACCGAGUGCUGUGGAUCGAGAAGAUGAUGUAAAUUCAAGUAUGAACAAAUCUGCUGACAGCAUCAAAACUGGAAAGAUAUCGAAUACAGUGGGGACAGACGCAAACUACAACUGGGCCAGGAGAGAUUGUAACGGAGACUCACACGUGAAGUGAGAAUCGAUAGAAAUACAUGUAAAUACAUACCCCUGGGAAGAGGAAAUAAAACACCAAAUGAUUUAUCAAUUUAUCUGGAAAUGGGGCCAGAUUCUCCAGUCUGCUAAGGCCACUUUGUGGCACAAAACAGACUUAAAGCAGCCUAAUAUGCUCUCAGAGAAUUCUCCUUUUGGAGGGAAACAGUCUGCUGGGGUAGCCUCCUCCUGAGCCCACUGCCACCUCAACCCACAGCAUAAGGAGAUUUAGGGGGUGCAGCCAUUCUAACCUGUGCAGCUGUAACUCCCAUUGGAACAGGUGGCUUCAGAUCAGGCAACUCUAAGUAGCUCUUUGCUCAUCCCCAUUUCCACUCUGUCGAAGCAGAGCUCAGGUGCAGUGGAAACAUUGAGCCCGGAGGAUGUUGGUGGCUGAAAACAGGUGCUUAGAAGAUGAAGCUUUCUCCUGCAGCAGGUCAUCAGGCUCACCAAGAAAGCCAAUGUAAGGGGAGAAGUGCCUGCUUUCCAAUGACAAGACAGCUUCCCAUGAAAGAAAUAGGAGCAGACCAAGACUGAGGUGAAUCAGCCAGUGUAGCUCCAUUCCAGUCAAUGGAGCUGUGCUAAUUUACAUCAAGCAGGGAUCUGGCCCAGAAUCUGUUUCUUGCCUUUCAGAUUGCUCUAUUAUAAUGUUACUAGUAUUAAUACUAAUUUUGACAAAUUACAAACAACGGGGAAAAAACACCACCUUCAUUAAGAACACACGUACCCGGGGUCCUAUAUAAAAGGAAGGGGGAAAGGUUCUACAUGUGGACUCAACAUUAAAAAUAAAAAACUUUUUUUCUGAAGGUAGG
Molecule: long non-coding RNA, 1423 nt
Organism: Chelonia mydas (Green sea turtle)
Lineage: Eukaryota; Metazoa; Chordata; Testudines; Cheloniidae
Exons: 3
Source: RefSeq, a predicted model, not a curated record